Molecule: ribosomal RNA, 301 nt
Filed under: uncultured bacterium
Lineage: Bacteria
Description: partial 16S ribosomal RNA
Rfam family: Bacterial small subunit ribosomal RNA
Source: RNAcentral
CAGUCGCCGCGGGAAUACGUAGGGUGCAAGCGUUAUCCGGGAUUAUUGGGCGUAAAGAGCUCGUAGGCGGUUUGUCGCGUCUGCUGUGAAAACUGGAGGCUCAACCUCCAGCCUGCAGUGGGUACGGGCAGACUAGAGUGCGGUAGGGGAGAUUGGAAUUCCUGGUGUAGCGGUGGAAUGCGCAGAUAUCAGGAGGAACACCGAUGGCGAAGGCAGAUCUCUGGGCCGUAACUGACGCUGAGGAGCGAAAGCAUGGGGAGCGAACAGGAUUAGAUACCCCCGUAGUCCCUGUCUCUUAUAA